Molecule: long non-coding RNA, 1268 nt
Organism: Bos taurus (domestic cattle)
Lineage: Eukaryota; Metazoa; Chordata; Mammalia; Artiodactyla; Bovidae
Source: Ensembl
GGAAGUGUGUGUGCGCGCACGCGCAGUGCGUGCGCAUGUGCAGUGUGUGCGCACGUGUAUGUGUGUGUGUGUGUGAGGGGGAAGUGUGCGUGUGCGCGCAUGUACAGUGUGUGCGGGGAAAGUGCGUGCGUGCAUGCAUGUGCAGUGUGCGCGUGCGUGUGCGCGCAUGUGCAGUGUGCGCACGUGCGCGCGCGGGGGAUGUGUGUGUGUGUGUGUGUGUGUGUGUGUGUGUGCCCGCGCCCGCGCUGCUGAUGCAGAUGCACAGGAAGUGCGCUGUCGCCCCGUGUUUCCAGACAGUUCCAAGAAAUCCCGGGGCCAGACAGAGUCUCAUCUGAAGGACGCAGGAGCCCAGCAGAGGCGCAUCAGUGCAGUCCGGGCAGCCUGCUGUCACACCCGUCUUGGGGCCUGCACCACCGUUAACUAAUCCUGAUGGCUGGCUGGUGAGACCCGAGGCUCCGAGUGCUCAGCUCUGCACCCGAGCUCCUGCAGGUCCCCUGGUCCCCGGACGCCUCCACGCAAGUGACCCCAGUCACGUCCUUCCUCGAGAACCCCAAGUGGGAGGCUCCCAACAUGGCGAGCCCACCCUGCUCACCAGCCACACGAGGCCGCCCGGCAUGGCAGUCAUUCAGGGACGCCCGUGCGGUUUCCUGGCCAGAUCUGCUGUCCCUGGACAGGGCUGGGGGAGCCGUCCCCACGUCUUCCCGAAACGACUUCCCUGGUGGUCCAGUGGUUAAGAAUCUGCCCGCCGAUGCAGGCAAUGAGGCUUCAGUCUCUGCUCAGGGAAGAUUCCACGUGCAGCAAGGCAGCUAAGCACGCGCGCCACGACUGAAAGCUGUGAGCCUGGAGCCCACGCUGGGCAAAAAAAAGGCCAGCACCACGAGAAGCCCCCGCAACCGCAACUAGAGUAAGACCACACGCGGCAAGGAAGACCCAGCACGGCCAAGAAACAAAUUAAAAACAACAAAAAAACCCACGAAGAAAAUCACGUGUAUCUACAGUGUAUUUGUUGCUGUUCAGUUGCUCAGUCCUGUCUGACUCUACGACCCCAUGGACUGCAGCGCGCCAGGCCUCCCUGUCCAUUACCAACUCCCGAAGCUUGCUCAAACUCCUGUCCACUGAGUUGGUGACGCCAUCCAACCAUCUCAUCCUCUGUCGUCCCCUUCUCCUGCCCUCAAUCUUUCCCAGCAUCAGGGUCUUUUCCAAUGACUCAGUUCUUCACAUCAGGUGGCCUAAGUACUGGAGCUUCAGCUUCAGCAUCAGUCCUUCCA